RNAcentral lists this ribosomal RNA (229 nucleotides) under uncultured bacterium. RNAcentral's name for it is "partial 16S ribosomal RNA". It matches the Rfam family "Bacterial small subunit ribosomal RNA", at positions 568 to 796 of the family's 1533-position model. The record is from RNAcentral.
UGCGUAGGCGGAUUAAUAAGUCAGUGGUGAAAUCUUUCGGCUCAACCGAGAAACUGCCAUUGAUACUGUUGAUCUUGAGUUCGGUUGAGGUAGGCGGAAUGUGUAAUGUAGCGGUGAAAUGCUUAGAUAUUACACAGAACACCAAUUGCGUAGGCAGCUUACUAGACCGACACUGACGCUGAGGCACGAAAGCGUGGGGAGCGAACAGGAUUAGAUACCCUGGUAGUCC